UUCACCGGUUCGCUGCCUGGAUUACGACUCCACCCAGCCGCCCCGCUCUCCACCGAUUACGCUCUCUCUCCUCUGCCUCAUCUUCAUCCACCUCGUCAGCUCAGCUCAUCCACCCCGAUAUCACAAGUCUUCUCUGGAUAUCACCCCGGCUCAUCUCCCCUCCGCAUUCAUCCCGGACUUCCUCAUCUUACCGCUUCCGGACUCGUCCUCCCGUUGGAUCUUCAGAACACCUUCAGUUCACAUCCACAUUUUAAUAAAUUAUUGUUCUUCCUUUACAUCA
Molecule: non-coding RNA, 280 nt
Organism: Nothobranchius furzeri (turquoise killifish)
Lineage: Eukaryota; Metazoa; Chordata; Actinopteri; Cyprinodontiformes; Nothobranchiidae
Source: RefSeq, a predicted model, not a curated record